UACGUAGGGUGCAGGCGUUAAUCGGAAUUACUGGGCGUAAAGCGUGCGCAGGCGGUUUUCUAAGACAGGUGUGAAAUCCCCGGGCUUAACCUGGGAACUGCGCUUGUAACUGGCAAGCUGGAGUGUGGCAGAGGGGGGUGGAAUUCCACGUGUAGCAGUGAAAUGCGUAGAGAUGUGGAGGAACACCGAUGGCGAAGGCAGCCCCCUGGGCUAACACUGACGCUCAUGCACGAAAGCGUGGGGAGCAAACAGG
This 253-nucleotide ribosomal RNA is filed under the name uncultured bacterium. Its description in RNAcentral is "partial 16S ribosomal RNA". It matches the Rfam family "Bacterial small subunit ribosomal RNA", at positions 524 to 776 of the family's 1533-position model. The record is from RNAcentral.